Molecule: non-coding RNA, 187 nt
Filed under: Clostridium tepidiprofundi
Lineage: Bacteria; Bacillati; Bacillota; Clostridia; Eubacteriales; Clostridiaceae
Also listed under: 1 other name
Description: Lysine sequence
Rfam family: Lysine riboswitch aptamer
About the family: Riboswitches are metabolite binding domains within certain messenger RNAs that serve as precision sensors for their corresponding targets. Allosteric rearrangement of mRNA structure is mediated by ligand binding, and this results in modulation of gene expression.
Source: RNAcentral
UACAUAAAUAGAGGAGCAGGUAAGUGGGUAGCUUUUAAAUGUUAAGAAAAAGAGCUUUCGAUUUUAAAAGUGAAGGGUUUAUCUGCCGAAAGAAUGUAUCAGCUCUUUUGGUAUGUUCUUGGGGGUUGAGUAGACUGGCUCAAUCACUGCCGUGAAAUAUUUAAUUUUAUGGAGCGCUAUUUAUGUG